UACGUAGGGGGCAAGCGUUGUCCGGAUUUAUUGGGCGUAAAGAGCGUGUAGGCGGUUAUACAGGUCCGCUGUGAAAACUGGAGGCUUAACCUCCAGACGUCGGUGGAAACCGUAUAACUAGAGUCCGGAAGAGGAGAGUGGAAUUCCUGGUGUAGCGGUGGAAAAUGCGCAGAUAUCAGGAAGAACACCCGUGGCGAAGGCGGCUCUCUGGGACGGUACUGACGGCUGAGAC
Molecule: ribosomal RNA, 232 nt
Filed under: uncultured bacterium
Lineage: Bacteria
Description: partial 16S ribosomal RNA
Rfam family: Bacterial small subunit ribosomal RNA
Source: RNAcentral